ACGGUUUCCUUCUUCUCGUUGCCGUGGCAACUCGGCAGGACAGCUUCGAACGGCAGGAAUUCUUACAGACCUAAAGGACGGGAGAUGGGGCUGGGGCUUGUCCAGAUGGGCUGAGCAGCAAAGCAGGCACCUGGAUGGCCCUCACCUGCCUGGCCUUUCCCUGCAGCACCACGUCAGCUUUGGAAAACAAAGGUUGAUCCCCAUGAGAGAAGAAAAUGGAGGAAAAAACCACACAGAGCACUUUAAGACAAGAUUUCACAACGCCCCAUCCCAGGAAAAAUGCAACUGGUAGCCUGUAACCUCAUUCACUGUGGUUCAGGUUGCCAAGAGCUCAUAUUCCAGCAGAACCCUUCCCAUCAGCCAACAAGCUACUCCUGAUCUCAGAAAAUGCUUUGGAAUGUCUCAGGGACUCCAAGCCUCCCUGCUGCAGCCUUAGCUUUCUCUGAACAUAUUUCUAUAUUAGUGAUUCAAUUCCCUGCUUAUUUUAAAGAAACAGGUCUAAAUUGAGUAAUUAAAAGCCGCUGAAAGAUGUGUUUCUCCUGAGACCAAACUCACCCCCCAUUACACAGACUGUGCUUCUACACUGCAGUUAAAACCUCAUAAAAAUUAAAGGCAUUUAAGUUUCAUGCUGACCCUCUGUACAGGAAUGAGCUUUAUCCACGAUGCAUUCAUCCUUUAAUUCCCAUUAAAAUAUGAGAGUUAAUGCAACUGGAGUUUGGAGUUCAGCUCAUGCAUGCUCCAUUUCUUUCAAUUACCCUUUCAUCAGAAAUAUUAUAUUAAUUUUGCAUAAUUAGAAGCCUGCAUUACAUCAUGGACUUCAUCGAAACCCCAGUAACGCUGAAGAGGUAAAUGCAAAAAUGAGAGAAGAGAUCAGAACUGUGUUUCUGAUUAGGCAGCUAAUCAACACCCAGGUACUUCUUUCCUGGAUUUACCAGCUAUAAAAGGUCAUUAAUUAGAUACACAGUUAUUAGUUUAGCCUUCAUGCAGAACUUAGAGAAAUAUAAAUGAUUUUCAUGUGCAUCACUGGUUGAUUAGUCACCUGUAGUUUUCAACACCAGAAGUUUCACAGUGUUUGCACCAUAUGCCUUUAAAUUAUAUUUCACCCCAAAUCUCAUUGAAUUUGAAAGACUGAAACAACUAUUCCCAGGUGGAUACCCUGUGUCCUCAUUCCUGCAAUUGAGAACUUUGGGGUUAGUUGUCAGCCAGAGCAGUAGGUAUGAUGAUUGUGGCUGGAGAAACUGGUGAUCUCACCGGGCAGCGACACCCUGGGGAAAAGUUUAUAAGGAACUUUUAAACUUUUAUAAGGAGCUCAUUUACAGCAGUAAAUGAGUUUAUCCCGAAAAUUUGCAGCUAAUGACAUAAUAUACAAUUUGUUUUCCAUUUAUGUGAGAAAUGAUUUCAAAGUUCUUAAUGACAGGAAAAACACUGUCUGCAUUAGUGCUGUGUGUGAAAUGAGUGUCUCAUGACUGCACUCACAGCUCCAGUGGGCUCUCGUAUAUCAAUGUCAAUAUUUAACUCCAAGAACUAAAAUGCUGGCACGUGCUGUGCAAGUGGCCAGAAUUGGCAAGACGGUGGAGAACACAUGCCAACCCAAACUAAUCAGCCUGCACAGGGGAAUAAGUUGCUCAGGCUGAAGCCAUUUUCACCGGGUACCUCUUUGACACCAGCAGAUGGUAUUUCCAAGAGUGGCUCUCCCACUCCUAACUAAUUUAUUAUAAGACUGUAGUGGCAGAUCUGAAGCAGGGCUGAUGUAACACAAAGUGCUCUUCUGGCUCCUGGCAAGGGCCCUGCUCACUGCUGCUCCUGGUUUCUGCUUCCCCUCUUCCUUGUUGUGUACCCACAUCCACUCACCAUGGAACGAGCUGGUCCUAAGGAAUGCAGAAAAGAAGCACCAUCCAAGAGAAAAGCUGUUCAGAUGAAGUAAAAUUCUAACUCUGCUUAGAAAUUCAGAAGCAUGUUCCACCCAGCCCAGUGCACUGCUACAUUUAUCAAAUAAAGCAUCUUCUAAUGAAAUUCCUGUUCACCGGGGUAUGAAGUAUCUUACUGGGGGUGGGGGCAUUUUCUAGGGUAGAGUCACUAAGAUGUACUAGAUGAUUAUUUUUUUAAAAUUGAUAUGAAUUUUAGUUGGAUACUUUGCCAAAGCAAUGUUACAUUCAUUUAACCAAUAUGCAAUAAAUGCUUCCUUCAUUUUCCAGUUCCAUCAAAACUAAACAAUUGCAGAGGUGGCUGCCUGCAGCCUGGACCUGUAUUUUCUUCUGCCCUAAUCUGAUAGAUUUAUCUGAAUGCUUGAAAAUAUUCAGCAAAUGAAAUGAAUAAGUACAGGUUUGAAGUAGCAGCAUUGAACAAGUCUCCUGAUUUUUCAUAUUUAUGCUGAAAAAUGAAAUGCAUCAAAAUGUACCCGUGAGCCAACCUUUUAAAGGAGUGGGUAACUGCUCAGGCAGGCAGAGCUCAUCUUCCACAGCAGCACAGCUUAGUUCACCAUCAGUUUUAAAUAAGUAGAACAUGAAAAUAAGUAGUCCAGACACAUUCAGUUCUGUAGGUAUAGGCUAAUCCCAGCUUGAAAUGCUAAAAUAAUCAUCUGAAGAAAUUCAUUUUAAGUAAGAAUAAAAUAGAAAAAAAAAUGUGAGGAAAGAAUAAUGCUCAUAAGCCAGAGAAAAGGGAAAA
Long non-coding RNA from Lepidothrix coronata (blue-crowned manakin), 2664 nucleotides. RefSeq lists it as uncharacterized. NCBI's taxonomy places the organism in Eukaryota, Metazoa, Chordata, Aves, Passeriformes, Pipridae. The record is from RefSeq and is a predicted model, not a curated record. The transcript has 3 exons.